AGUAGCGGUGAAAUGCGUAGAUAUCUGGAGGAAUACCAAAGGCGAAGGCAGUCCCCUGGUCCGAUACUGACACUGAGGUACGAAAGCGUGGGGAGCAAACAGGAUUAGAUACCCUGGUAGUCCACGCCCUAAACGAUGUCGAUUAGCCAUUGGAAGGACCCCUUUUCCUUUCAGUGACGUAGCUAACGCGUUAAAUCGACCGCCUGGGAAGUACGACCGCAAGGUUAAAACUCAAAGGAAUUGACGGGGACCUGAACAAGCGGUGAAUGAUGUGGAUUAAUUCGAUGCUACGCGAAGAACCUUACCUACCUUUGACAUGGCCAAAGUUCUACCGAGAGGCGGGAGUACUCGUAAGAGGAUUGGCGCACAGGUGCUGCAUGGUUGUCGUCAGUUCGUGUCGUGAGAUGUUGGGUUCAGUCCCGCAACGAACGCAACCCUUAUCUUUAAUUGCUCCUAUUUUAACAGGCACUUUAAAGAAACUGCCAAUGAUAAGUUGGAGGAAGGUGGGGAUCACGUCAAGUCCGCAUGGCCUUUAUAGGUAGGGCUUCACACGUCAUACAAUGGUUAGAACAAAGAGCUGCAAAUUCGUAAGAAGGAGCCAAUCUCACAAACCUAACCUCAGUUCGAAUUGCGGUCUGCAACUCGAGCGCAUGAAGCCGGAAUCGCUAGUAAUCGUGGAUCAGUAUGCCA
RNAcentral lists this ribosomal RNA (690 nucleotides) under uncultured Candidatus Tremblayella sp. RNAcentral's name for it is "bacterial SSU rRNA". It matches the Rfam family "Bacterial small subunit ribosomal RNA", at positions 674 to 1359 of the family's 1533-position model. The record is from RNAcentral. Lineage: Bacteria; Pseudomonadati; Pseudomonadota; Betaproteobacteria.